GUGGAUACAUCAUUGAAGGCAAUGAUAUCAGCUUCAGCCUCAUAGAAGGCACCCGACCAACUCGCCAAUGGUGUCGGAGAAAUUGAAAUAUCGGAUUGAACCUUUACCGGUGUCCUCUGCUCACAUCCCUUUUCCAGGGAUGUUAGGGUCAGUAACACUUCGGAUGAUGUUGAAUUGAAUUGAAUUGUGAAACAUGAAGCAUUCAUGCUUGGAACUUCCAAGGGCAAGCACACCAACAAAGGAUUUGAUCUUUUCAAUUCCACUGCACCAAUACUAGAUCUAAAUGAGAAGCUUAUUGUGGUUGGGCGAGUCAUCAAGGGAGAGGAUGUUGUUCAAGUAACUGAAUUUGCAUCUCAUUGUUAUGGACGGUGAACAUUGUGGAUUUCACCUGGGGCUUCAUCAAUCAAGUGUUUUAAGCCUUAAUGUUGUUUUUUGCCAUUGCAUGUGUAGUUGUCAACAAAGGGAUUAUACAAUAGCCACUGACAACCGAGUCCACAGUGAAGAAGAUUGAAGACAACAACACUUUGGUUUUCAUUGUAGACAUGCAUGCUAAUAAGAAGAAGAUCAAGGAUGCAGUGAAGAAAAUGCAUGACAUCUAAGCCAAGAAAGUGAACACUUUGAUCAGGUGAGCAUUUAUGCAGUCAUUGGUAAAUUGAAAUUUGUUUAUAAUCGAAUCACCUAUCUUCAUAUAAAUUUAUGUGUAUUACUUUCUUGUAAGCCUGAUGGAACACCCCAUUGUGAUUCCUUAGAUAUAGCAAACAAGAUUGGAAUCAUCCAAGGUGUUUCCUAGCUUU
RNA transcript from Arachis duranensis, 794 nucleotides. It is a transcript of the gene named peptidyl-prolyl cis-trans isomerase CYP21-4-like, with no coding region annotated. NCBI's taxonomy places the organism in Eukaryota, Viridiplantae, Streptophyta, Magnoliopsida, Fabales, Fabaceae. The transcript has 3 exons. The record is from RefSeq and is a predicted model, not a curated record.